UCUCAGUCAUUCAAUCCAUAAUCAAUAAAACAGUAAAAUAUGCACACGAAACUAUAAAAUGAAAACAUCAAAUCUCAUACUGCAUUUGAAACUGUAAAAUAGGCCAAUUAACAGUUAACCGACAAACACACUAGACUCGGGCUCCAUUAGCGACCUUAAGCAAUUUCACACAUUCGUUGAUUCAAGAAAUACCGUUUUAUCAUUAUUGAACUUAAAUACCGU
This 222-nucleotide long non-coding RNA is filed under the name Carica papaya (papaya). Its description in RNAcentral is "long non-coding RNA (CPAP_LNC008074)". Lineage: Eukaryota; Viridiplantae; Streptophyta; Magnoliopsida; Brassicales; Caricaceae. The record is from RNAcentral.